UCUGAGGUUGGAUUCGAUGAUCUUGAGGUCUCUUCCAACCUAGAAAUUCUGUGAUUCUGUGAUUUUUUCUUUUUCUAAAAAUUCUAGCCAUUUGUAAUCUAGACAGCUGCCACUUUGUGUGCUGAACUCUGAUACCACAUACAAAUACAUUUAAUUACUUCUUUGUAGUCCAAGUCUGUUUGUGUGGUGUGAUCAAUGAAAAAUUUCUGGCUUCCAUGACCCAUAACACAUAUUUUUGUACAUUAGUACUGUAAAACGUUCAUCAAUUAUCAAUAAAGUUGCAGGGACUUUUUUUUUUUUUUUUUUGGACAGGCCUGCCUGAAUGGAUAAAUGAAACAAAACAGAUGCCAGAAGCUAUCCGGAUGGUCACAAUUCCCAGAUCCCUGUCCCUUCGCAGAGGCAUUGCUGAGAAAACCCACAGCACUGUACAAAGGAAACAUACCAUUUCAGAUUUUUGAACUGCCUCGCGUGUAAUUGAUGAUCAGAAACAUCGAUAUGGAGUAUGAAGGAUCAAAUUUUAAAACAACGUUGAAAUAUCUCAUCUGAUUGAAUGAAGCUGGAAAACUGAUGAAACUCCAUGAAAUGGUGUUGGCGUUAUCCCUUAGAACAUAUCUAGUGAAAAAUGCAGUAUGUCACAUGUCUGUGGAAAUCAUGGAUGAGAAGCCAAAACCCUAUCUAUUGGCUGUCUCGUUACAAUCUGAUGGAACACCAGUUUAAAGGAAACACAAGCGAACACUGAAGAAGCCUUUCAUUUCUGCAUUUAGAGGCAUCAGCCAGAGAAGUUUUCUUCUUCCCCCAAAUACUGCUCUUCAGCUGGUAUAUACAAUAUGAUAAUAUUAUGAAAUUUUAUCAUGUCCAUUAUGGUCUCUCAAUAGUGUUUGUAUUAUAUUUAGUGAGCCCUAGAGAGGUUUGAAUUUGUUUCUGAUUAAUUCAGCAGCAAUGUUAGAUAUAUAUCUUAAUUUAAGUAUAAUUUAGAUUUUCAUUGACAGUUAUUUCUAUACAGUUGAUAGAAUCCAGAUGUGCAAAUGUUUAAAUGAUAUAGCCUUCAACGAGACAGUGCAGUAACCCCAUGAGAGAACUGAAUGUUAUAACAGGGGAUCCUUCUAGUUCAUAUGUAUCUUGUCUGCCCUGACACUCCUUUUAGUCUUACUUGCCAGAGUUAGGUAACGUUGACAAUAGGUAAUAGUGCUGAUUUACUGAUCCAGUAAACCUUAGAUGAAAAACAAACAAAUAAACAAAAACAGACAAACA
This 1251-nucleotide long non-coding RNA is filed under the name Anas platyrhynchos platyrhynchos (common mallard). RNAcentral's name for it is "lncRNA (ENSAPLG00000029286.1)". The record is from RNAcentral. Lineage: Eukaryota; Metazoa; Chordata; Aves; Anseriformes; Anatidae.